UACGUAGGGGGCAAGCGUUGUCCGGAAUCAUUGGGCGUAAAGUGCGUGUAGGCGGCUCGGUAAGUCCGCUCUGAAAGCCCGGGGCUCAACCCCGGGAGGCGGGUGGAUACUGCUGAGCUCGAGUCCGGAAGAGGAGUGUGGAAUUCCUGGUGUAGCGGUGAAAUGCGCAGAUAUCAGGAGGAACACCAAUGGCGAAGGCAGCACUCUGGGACGGUACUGACGCUGAGACGCGAAAGCGUGGGGAGCAAACAGG
Molecule: ribosomal RNA, 253 nt
Filed under: uncultured bacterium
Lineage: Bacteria
Description: partial 16S ribosomal RNA
Rfam family: Bacterial small subunit ribosomal RNA
Source: RNAcentral